ACUGGCCAUUGUCGUAGGCUUUGUCCACUUUGACAAACUGAAGACGGGGACUCGACUCACCUUCGCCAGCUACAGGAGGACCUCCAGACGAGGACCGGACUCGCCGCCUUUCUUUCCCGUCAGAAAGGGAUCCCUUGCGGACAGGACCGAAGUGAGUAGCUGGUUUCCCCUACGUGUCCUUCCGGGCCUGGGUGUCUCGGGAGCUCAGGCUGACAGGAGACCUAACUACCGGCGAGUGAGACCAGCAGGAGCCUGGAGGGGCGCGCACCAGGGUGGAGGUUUGGUGCCGGGGGUUGAGAACAACAGUCAAACCCUCUUCUUCCCUGUACCGCGCACCUGCCCCCUGGGAUGCCGAACGAAGUGGCCCCUAAGGCUUCUCUGCAGGUCCAACCGAAACAGGCCUGAAGUUCCAGGAUGGGCGAGAGGAUCCUCUUUGAGCGAAACCAGCCUUCUGCCUGGCUGGCCCUGGUCAACACACUCGGAAGAGGCCGAUUUGGCGGACAGAACGGAAGAAAAGACCUAAAGUACCAUCUCCAGAAAGGCACUGUAUGAAAAGUCCCAUGUUGUUUCUGGCAGAACUGACACAUUUGUGCCUAGCAUAGUGAUGCUGUUGUCUGCAGAAGGGUCACAGCCUUCAGAGACUCUCCUGCCAGUGCUGUAUUUUGCCUGCACCCCUCCGGCUUGGCUUCUGCACUGAGACCCUCCUAACAAUAGAUGAUCCUCAUCCAAUCACUUAAAGGCCUGAAUAGAACCAAAAGUCUGACCUGCCCAUGAGUAAGAGAGAGCUCCUUCUGCCUGAUUGCUUCAGCUGAGAUAUCAGCCUUUUCCUGCCUUUGGAAUUGAACUGCAACACUGGCUCUUCCUGGGCCUCAAGCCUGCCAGCUUUUGAACUGUAACCACACCAUCAUCUCUCCUGGUUCUCAGGCCUUUGGACUCAAAUCAGAAACACACCAUGGGCUCUCCUAUGUCUCAAGCUUGCCAACUGUGAUCUUGAGACUUCUCAGCCUCCAUAAUCACAUGAGUCAAUUGUUGGUUCUGUUUCUCUGGAGAACCCUAAUCCAUCACUUUACAUAUUUCUUCCAUUACGCAUAUUGUUUCCCAGCAUAUUAAAUAAUUUAC
Molecule: long non-coding RNA, 1119 nt
Organism: Pan troglodytes (chimpanzee)
Lineage: Eukaryota; Metazoa; Chordata; Mammalia; Primates; Hominidae
Exons: 4
Source: RefSeq, a predicted model, not a curated record